This 452-nucleotide ribosomal RNA is filed under the name uncultured bacterium. Its description in RNAcentral is "bacterial SSU rRNA". It matches the Rfam family "Bacterial small subunit ribosomal RNA", at positions 8 to 507 of the family's 1533-position model. The record is from RNAcentral.
AGAGUUUGAUCAUGGCUCAGAAUGAACGCUGGCGGCAGGCCUAACACAUGCAAGUCGAACGGGUCCUUCGGGACUAGUGGCGGACGGGUGAGUAACGCGUGGGAACGUGCCCCUUGGUACGGAAUAGCCCUGGGAAACUGGGAGUAAUACCGUAUGUGGUCGAGAGACGAAAGAUUUAUCGCCAAGGGAUCGGCCCGCGUUGGAUUAGGUAGUUGGUGGGGUAAUGGCCUACCAAGCCGACGAUCCAUAGCUGGUUUGAGAGGAUGAUCAGCCACACUGGGACUGAGACACGGCCCAGACUCCUACGGGAGGCAGCAGUGGGGAAUCUUAGACAAUGGGGAAACCCUGAUCUAGCCAUGCCGCGUGAUCGAUGAAGGCCUUAGGGUUGUAAAGAUCUUUCAGGUGGGAAGAUAAUGACUGUACCACCAGAAGAAGCCCCGGCUAACUCCGUG